AAACUCUCUCGACGUUCUCUGUCUCUUUGCUUCUUCGCCUCACUCGAGGCCAGUCGCAUUGAUUGUCUCCGAGUUUCUGCAAGCAAAGUUAAAGAGCCAGCGGUAGCUUUUAUUUAAGUUUAUUUUUUGAACGUUUUUCAAUGAAGGGGAACCUUAGUUUCUUAUCACUAGUUUAUUACGUUCCAUAGAAUUCGUCAAAGAAGAUACUCCUGGUCAACAAGCGGAGCCAACAGACAACAAAGAAAAUCGUCGGUGUUACUUCGUGAAAGUCGUGGCUUGUGAAAGUUUGCCUUUUUUUUGAAGCAGUUGUGGAGUGAAAGAUUAAAGUGUUUGCAGGCACAGACUUAAGCCAUUCUGUUUCACCAUCUUGCUGACCUUGAGGUACAGGUAUAUUGGUUAAAACAGGAAGGUGGGCGGAAGCAGAAUUUUAGAAUACUGAGAGAGGAGUAUUUUAUUAGUAGCAUUAAGUGUUGUUUGUUAACUGUGAAGAAAUAAUAUAAAUGGUGUCAGUUUCUGUUAGAUUGCAAGGGCCGGCACAUGAAUUGAAACAUGCCACUUUCAACCAGUUUAACCAGUUGGGGCAGGUCAAGACAGCGCAGAGAAAGCUGAGGAUGGAGAGCUGAAAGUUGAAGCCACAUUUAUUAAUCCUUUGAAGUCAACAGCUUAAAAAUGGCCUUCUUUGUAAAAUUACAUUGUUAAAAGUUAGCUCAAGCUGAGUUUUGGAACAUUCUUUUUAAGGUGAAAAGCAACAAAUAACGUUUAGAAAGGCUCCGAUGCUGAAGGUGUGUAUUAUUAGGUUAGAACUUUUAGUUAAGUUUGAAACAAAAAACUAAGAGUAGCAUAUAUAUUGUUUAAGAAGUAGUGUUUUAAUCUUUACUAAUGUUCCAGCAAGGUUGUGCGUCUUCAAGCCCUUGUCAGGCCCUGAUACAAAACUUUUAAUAUUUACUUUAAUAUGAGGCAUGGUUCUAAACUCUGGUAAAUAAAUUACCACCAUACUGUUUAAUUCUGGAGUACUGUGUGAUAUUUUGGAUUAGAUACAAAAUUGUAGUGCGCAAAGAUGUAAUUUAUUUAUUCAACUUCCUGAUUGAGGAAACAAAAUUUUAGUUUUCCUGAUACGAAAAAUCCUUAGUCUCAUUCUACCAUAUUUCCCGGAAGAGCAUGAACAGAUAAUGAACAGAGCAGCGCAUACUGCAAGCAGAAGAUGUUUUUCAACAUAUUAGUUCUAUGUGUUUUUAUCAACAGGCCGAAUCCUUUAAUUUAUUAGAUGAACAAAAAAAAAAUCUGUUUUAUGUUAAAAAAAAAAAGGUGAUACUCAUUCAGACACAAUUUACCUUUGACGAUAAUAAUUUCCUGUUUCCACAAUCAAAUGUUACUAAGUUAGCAAUUUGAGCUAUUAGUUUAGCCAAGUGCUACAAUUUAUAAUAUUCCAUGUGUCUUGGCAUCUCACAUUGUGGAACAAAUUUGCAUUUUUAAUUUAAGCUACUGACGUGAUUUUUAAUUUCAUAUCUGUUCUUUUUAAGGUAAAGGUGAUAUUGCUAUGAAUGACUGAGAAUGUUAAAUUAUUGAAAACAUGAAAAAAUGUAUGUAAUUUAAUAACUUAAAUGCCAACAAAGUAAAAAUCUAGCCCUGAAAACGGAAUUAUUAGCUUGUGAGGAAUUAUUCACUUAACCAACACUAGAGGAUAGUCCUUUAACCUUUGGAGUUAACUAACAUUCUGAGCAGGUUUUGUUGCAGAGUGAAUUCUGAAGUUAAAAUAAAAGUUCAGGAACUUAAUUGCAUUUAGUUAAAUCGGUUGCAGGGAUGUUCUUGGAAGUAGAUCCUUUGUCAGAGGAUGAAUCAGUGCAGAUCUAAUGCCAAUGUUAUACUAGACACCAAACUUACAAUCAGUAUAAGAUAAUAUAUCUUUAGUUUAGGAAGCUGUAAUUUGGUUACAAUGUCCUCCUUUCCAAAAUAAAACUAGGGUGUUGAGUCUGUACAUCUGCUGAGAAUAAAACCAAUUUAUUAUUAUUACUUUUUUAGUUAAAUUGUAGUUGAAAAUUCUAAUGUGUAAAAAGCCAAUGAAUUAGAUUGGAGUUGGGAACCAGACAUUUUGUGUCCAUGUUAACAAUCUAUCAAUCAGUAAAAUAGAACUUCCAAUUUACAGCACUGGAUUAGCGAUUGCUGGGUUUCCUUCUUGGUAAAAAUUGUUAUUAGUUAAACAGUGUCUUUAAGGAUGCAUGAAAUGAAAGAAGAGCAGCCAUUAUGAAUGAGCCUCGUGUCAGUUAUGGGGCAAUCUUUUAUUUCAGUGCAUUUUCCUCCACUAAUUGCUCGAUUUGUUUAAUAGGUAAAACAUCUCCCAACCUAUUCAUCACUAUAAAUCUGCAGUACCGAGGUUUAAUAAUGAGAUCAAAUUACACUAGAGUUACAUUUCAGUAGAAGAAUUGAAAUACAUUUGUUGGAAAAGCCUUGAUUGGCGAUACUAUUGUUUAAUUAAAAAUCCUUCAGAUGGGGCCCAUACUGCUCAAUGGUAGAUUAUUGAUUCCGCAAAAAAAAAUUCUGUAAUUUGACAUAAUUUUUGUGGAUGCUCUGACUGGGGACUUCAUUAAUGAAUUUUGUUCAUUAAUCAAAUGUUCAUCAUCAUCAUUGAAUUUUGUUAUUUGCAUGAAGCAUAAUUUGAAUGGCUUCAUUAGAUACUAGUAGACAUGUAGAUUCUUCCUUGAAAUAUUUUUAUUCUUUAAAUGAUAAGCUGUGAAGUGCAUAUGUAACUUCCUAGCUACAUACUCACAAUAGUACUUCAACUUUUUUUCAACUGGGGGAAAUAAGAGCCUUUACAUCCCCCAGGUCCCCAGGUAACCACUCUGGAGAUCUGGCAUGAGAUAAGGUGCAGUGUUUCAACUGCCUUGUCCAUUACACAAUUGCUAACCAUUGAUUAAGGUUCAGUCACAGUUAACUAACAGGUCAGCCACUUCACUUCAAAAUUGCAUUCCACAGUGGAGCUGGGGACCUUUACACACUGUGGUCGGAUUGCUUAAAAAUCUAGAUUUAGUACAACCUAGACAUUCUUGAAUUCAUGUGAACCUUAUCCAGGCGUUGGCUGAAAGGGGUGGGGAACGCAAAGGUAAUACCGGUGGCUAAUUGCAGGUAUUAAACAGAGGAGGAGUUGGUAUAUGCUUCUUGUUUUCUACAUGUCUUAUUCAUUGUUUCCUUUCUUUCCAAGGCCUGCACAUUGGUAAUAAUGCUGAUGAUUAACUAAAUGAAGGCUGUAGCCUGGCAACCAUUAGGUUGGUUUUAUAUUUCAAGGGUUCAAAAUGACCAGAGAAGCCACAUUAUUCACGAGUCGGGGAAACUGAGAUUUUCUCUUUGCACCCUUUGUAUUGCCUUUCACCACGGCUGGAAAAAACGCUGCGACCUACUUGAGACCAUGAGUACGCAGAGACCACUCACGAGCUUGAGGAAGAGUUACAAAGACCUCCUACGACCUUGUGGCGACCAUGCUGCGAGUAUGAGUCGAGAGCAAACUUGGCAGAGGUCGCCAAUUAGGUUGUUGUUGUUGAGCUACUUGAGUCUGGAUGGAGCUGUACUUAUUCAAGCAAGUGCAGAGUGACCCAAGACUCUCCGAACUUACCUUGUAGAGGAUGGAAGGACUUUGGUCAUUCAGGUUAACCACCCGCUACAGGAUAUCCAGCUACUGAUUUGCUCUUGUAUUGGUAUGUCUGUUCCUACUGAGUUUCCAGUCAAGGGUGACCUUCAGGACAUUGAUUGGUGGGGACUGAGUGACAAUGAUGCUAAAGGUGGAAACUGAACCUGACACCUUCCUCAUCUGAAUGUCAAGAUAUCAGAAGAAGCAUUAACAUGAACCCUUCAGACGUCAAAAUCUUUCAUUUUAUUGAUAGAUUUUUGUAACCAAUGAAAACAAUUUUUUGUAAGUCAUUUAAAAUCAAUUAAAUAUAUUCUUGCAUUUGAAAUGGGAAUAAUUGGUAUAUUUCUUUUGUGGAAAAAUUACAUGUGCUUUUGUCCUUCAUCUGUUGACAGCAACUUACAAAGGGAAACCGACUUAAAGGCAAAUGAGUUAGUCAGCGGGGCCCAGAACACUGUAAACUGUGCCACGAACCAGUCACUACAUGUGAAAAGAGUGCGUUGAAACAAAGUAUUCUGUUUCUCAAAACAAAAUGCCUGCACUUCUUAUCUUUGGUACAAAACCAUUUCUAUUUGUUCAUUUUUGUCGUGACCUGCAAAACAAAAUGUUGACUCGUGGUGGUGUGACGGUUAUUGAUGGCUGUCUUUAGAAAUUGGAACAAAUCCCUGAACCCUAUACCCGAACUCUACCUCUGCUACACCAACAACAGCAUUGGUGCUACCUCCUGCACCCAUGCAGAACUCACUGACUUCAUCCAUUUCACCACUUCCAUCCGGCACUCAAAUUCACCUGGACCAUUCCCGACAUCUCCCUACCGUUUCUAGAUCUCUCCAUCGCAGGGAACAGACUGCUGACUGACAUCAACUACAAACCCACUGACUCGCAUGUCGAGUCGAUCUGGACUACACUUAUUCCCACCCUGCUUCAUGUAAGGAAUCUAUCCCCUGCUCCCAAUUCCUCCGUCUACACCGCAUCUGCGCCCUGGAUGAGAUGUUCCAGACCAGGGCAUCGGAGAUGUCCUCAUUCUUUAGGGAACGGGGGUUUCCCUCUUCUAUUAUAGAUGAGGCUCACCAGGGUCUCCUCUAUAUCCCACAGCUCCGCUCUUACUCCCCAUCCCCCUACUCGUAACAGGUACAGAGUCCCACCUUGUCCUCACCUUCCACCCUAUCAGCCGUCGCAUACAACUUAUGUAUUCCCUUUAUAAGACAUUUUUGCCACCUCCAACGGGAUUCCACCACUGGCCACAUCUUCUCAUCCCCACCCCUGUCUGCUUUCCGCAGAGACCGUUCCCUCCUUAACUCCCAGGUCAAUUCGUUCCCAACCCCUUUCUCUAUUAUAAAUUGCUAUUACAACAUAACUUUCUAUAACACGAGGUUUCUCAGGAACACAGCUGUUGCUUGAGAACUGAAUUGCCUGUGCACAUAAAUUAUAGGACUCGGUGACAUGUAGGUGACUGCAAGAACAAUAUAUUAGUGCAAAAUGCAAUUGGAAAACAAGUCGAUGGAAGGCUUGAGUUGCACCUGUAUAGAUGGUCCGUGAGAAGGAGAUGUUGUUACCUUUUCACAUUAAUUGAGGUCUGCUGAUCAGGAAGUGUAGCAUGCAGUUGCAAAAGGACAUAUAGAGGCUCAGGUCCUGGAGUUUGAUGAAGGGUUUGAUAAUUGGGCACAUGGAUAUGCAGGGAAUAGAGGGAUCUGCAUCACGUGCAAGCAGAAAUUAUUUUAACCUGACUUCGUGUUUGGCUCCGACAUUGUGAGCUGAAGGGCCUCUUCCUGUUCCAACUCGAUUCUACCUUUGACUGCUCAAGGAUGUCUCUCCCCGACACUGCAUCAUCUUUCUACAGCAGUAAACUCUUUGCAUUUACAGACAAGCAUCACACGCGUUUCAUUGUCAUUCUCCUCAUCUCACGUCGCCUACUUCCACCCAAAACUGUACCACUUCCUCCCCAGCCUUUGUCUCUUGUUCCGCCUCAGAUGCCCAUCCCUCUGAGCUCAGGAUGAGUAACGUUAUUCGUGAAGAUACAGAAUUGAUAAAACCCAAAAUAAAAGUGAGAGGAAUAGAUUGGUAGACACACAGAGUCUCUGGCCCAGUGUAGGGGAAUAUAGAACCAGAGGACGUAUGUUUAACGUAAGUCAUAGAGUGAUACAGUGUGGAAACAGGCCCUUCGGCCCAACUUGCCCACAUCAGCCAACAUGUCCCCGCUACACUAGUCCGACCUGCCUGCGUUUGGUCCAUAUCCAUCCAAACCUGUCCUAUCCAUGUACCUGUCCAACUGUUUCUUAAAUUUUGGGAUAGUCCCCGCCUCAACUACUUCCUCUGGCAGCUUGUUCCAUACACCCACCAUCCUUUGUGUGUAAAAGUUACCCCUCAGAUUCCUAUUAAAUCUUUUCCCCUUCUCCUUAAACCUAUGUUUUCUGGUCCUUGAUUUGCCUACUCUGGGCAAGAGACUCUGUGCAUCUACCCGAUCUAUUCCUCUCAUUAUUUUAUAUACCUCAAUAAGAUCACCCCUCAUCCUCCAGAGUCCCAGCCUACUCAACCUCUCCCUAUAGCUCAGACCCUCUGGUCCUGGCAACAUCCACGUAAAUCUUCUCUGUAACUUUUCCAGCUUGACAACAUAUUUUCUAUGCCCAGAACUGAACACAAUACUCUAAAUGCGGCUUCACCAACAUCUUAUACAACUGCAACAUGACCUCCCAACUUCUAUACUUACUACUCUGACUGAUGAAGCCAAUGUGCCAAAAGCCUGUUUGACCACCCGACCUACCUAUGACUCCACCUUCAAACAACCAUACAUCUUAACGUCUAGAUCCCUCUGAUCUAUAACACUCCCCAGAGCCCUACCAUUCACUGUGUAGGUUCUGCCCAUGUUCCCCAAAUGCAACACCUCCCCAUUCUCUGUAUUAAAUUCCAUCAACCGUUCCUCAGCCCACCUGGCCGAUCGAUCAAGAUCCUGCUGCAAUUUUUCACAACCAUCUACAACUAUCUGCAAAACCACCCACUUUUGUAUAAUCUGCGUAUACCCGUCCCAUCCUUUUUAAUCUUGACCAAUGCCUCAAUUUCUCUCGCCAGCCAAGCUUUGUUACUUUAGCCUGCCUUGCCCUUCACUCUAAUAGGGACGUGCAUGUCCUGAGCUUUUGUCAGCACAUUUAUAAAAACAUCCCACUUGA
This is a long non-coding RNA of Leucoraja erinaceus (little skate), 6780 nucleotides long. RefSeq lists it as uncharacterized. Lineage: Eukaryota; Metazoa; Chordata; Chondrichthyes; Rajiformes; Rajidae. The transcript has 3 exons. The record is from RefSeq and is a predicted model, not a curated record.